This 308-nucleotide unclassified non-coding RNA is filed under the name plant metagenome. Its description in RNAcentral is "partial contains 5.8S ribosomal RNA, internal transcribed spacer 2, and large subunit ribosomal RNA". The stretch from base 1 to 104 matches the Rfam family "5.8S ribosomal RNA", at positions 51 to 154 of the family's 154-position model. The record is from RNAcentral.
AAAUGCGAUAAGUAAUGUGAAUUGCAGAAUUCAGUGAAUCAUCGAAUCUUUAAACGCACAUUGCGCCCGCCAGUAUUCUGGCGGGCAUGCCUGUUCGAGCGUCAUUUCAACCAUCAAGCCCCCGGGCUUGUGUUGGGGACCUGCGGCUGCCGCAGGCCCCGAAAACCAGUGGCGGGCUCGCUGUCACACCGGGCGUAGUAGAUUUUUCGUCUCGCCCAGGGCGUGCUGCGGGUUCCGGCCGUUAAAAAGCCUCUCUUUUAACCCAAGGUUGACCUCGGAUCAGGUAGGAAGACCCGCUGAACUUAAGC